UUACGGCCAUAUCUCAUUGAAACACCGAUUCUCAUACGAUCACAGAAAUUAAACAACGUCGAGUCUGGUUAGCCACUAAGAUGAGUGACCCCUUGCGAAUACAAAGAAGUUGUAAG
Non-coding RNA from Acanthosepion pharaonis, 116 nucleotides. The record is from the annotation of a GenBank genome assembly. NCBI's taxonomy places the organism in Eukaryota, Metazoa, Mollusca, Cephalopoda, Sepiida, Sepiidae.